RNAcentral lists this ribosomal RNA (357 nucleotides) under Triticum aestivum (bread wheat). RNAcentral's name for it is "partial small subunit ribosomal RNA". Lineage: Eukaryota; Viridiplantae; Streptophyta; Magnoliopsida; Poales; Poaceae. The record is from RNAcentral.
AUGGAUGACGGAGGUGAUCGAAGCACCCUGCACCACGAGUCUGCUUCAUCUCCUCCUUUCCUUCGCGCGCCUGAGCUCCUCGUUGUAUGCCGCCCGGGAGGGCUCGCGCUCGUCGCUCUACCAGAGCCACCACCGGCCGGUCGUCGCUGCACUUUCCCGCGACCUCUCCGCCCCCUCUGCACCACCCUCCACCUCAAUUUAGACGCACAUGUGUUUGUGGAUGUCCUCAGUUAUUGUUUGCACACAAGGUGUUUGUGUGUUUGUCCUAGCCAGUUUCAGUCACAGAUCCUUGAGAGACAAUUAGAUUUUGGAAGCAGGAAUCCUUUCCUCAUAAGAUGGAUGAGCUGUAGGAUUUGA